UUUCUUCACUGAAUAUUAUAAUAAACGAAAUAGAACAUAAAUAUUCACCAAGAUAUAUGAGCCUACUUGCUGUUGUGAAUUUUAGUAUUAAUCACAUAUAUUUAGAAGAAGAUUUUGAAAAGAUUCGUAAGACUGUAGUAUCACUUUUUGGAAAACUGAUCGAC
Long non-coding RNA from Pseudomyrmex gracilis, 164 nucleotides. RefSeq lists it as uncharacterized. The transcript is spliced from 3 exons. Lineage: Eukaryota; Metazoa; Arthropoda; Insecta; Hymenoptera; Formicidae. The record is from RefSeq and is a predicted model, not a curated record.